UCUUUAUAAAAUUCUCAUCUAUUUUCGGGAAUCUUACGCAAGACUAUUGGCCUACUUGGUCUCUCUCCAAUCCCCUGUUUCUUUCUUCUUUCCAACACCCGAAGCCAAGGCGGCCAACGUCUUUCAACUCUUUGACGACUUGUUUAAGAUUAUGGGGUCCUGGGAAUUGCGUGAUUUUGGCCUACAACUUGUGGGUGGAGUUGAUUCAGAGCUUCAAAAGCUGAAAAUAAAGUUGAAGGUGGUUGGAUUUCUGCUCAGUCUAGCUAAAGAAAUUCAAUUGAUAAAGGACGAUGAGACUUCGUUCUAUAUCUUCAGGUUCAAUGUUCAAAAAGUCUCCAAGAUCGAAGAGCUGAAAGUGAUUUCUAGAGGGAAAUCAAGGAGCAAAGUUCAAAUGCAUCAACUAAGCAAGGUGUUUAUGUCACAUUUUAUUUGACACCCCUGGUUGGUAUGGGUGGAGUUGGCAAGAAGAGGGAUCACAAGGCUGUAGAAGUUUUCUAGUUUGAGAAAAAGGUUUGGGUUUGUGUCUCUGACAGUUUUGAUAUUCUCACCAUUUUGAAGGUACUUCUUUAGCCACAAAAACAUCCUUGAAAUUCACUUGUGCCUAAUUUAAAAGACGUGUAAGAUAAAAUGGAAAAUGUAGAGAAGGGAAAAAGCUAGGUUUUUGCUUGUUUUGGAUGAUGUUUGGAACGUGGGCAAAUAAAAACCAAAGGCAUGCGAAUUUUGAUAGCAUAAACAUUAAUGCAUAAAAAAAAUAUUUAGGUUGCCAGAGAGUUUUGUUGAAAAGUGCACUUAAACAUCCUCCGGCAGUUAUGACCCUCCGGGUCUUUCAGACGGGGGAAAUGAUAUAAAAAUACAAUAUAUAGGUUGACCAAGGUGAUAUUCUCCUAGCAUUAAGGUUAAGCUAUCACUAUCUUCCUUCACAUAUGAAAGAAGCCUCACAUAUAGUGCAAUUUUCCCCAAAAAGAUGUUUUGUUUAUUGUGCAAUAUUUCCUAAAGUUACGAUUUCGAGGGGGAUAAACUUGUCAUCUUGUGGAUGGAGGAAAGUAUAAUUCAACUAUGAGAUUAAGCAACUAUAUUUGGUCAGGGAGUGUUUUCAUCGUUUAUGAUCAAGAUCACUUUGUCAACAAUCAAGUAGCUAUUGUUCUAAAUGUGUAACGCAUGACCUUGUCCAUAAUCUAACUCAAUCAGUUCUUAUUGAAAUCAAUAAGUUUAAGGAAGCCGAUACCAAGCUAGCAAAAAUUGUUGAAAGUAUUUAUCUAGAAUUAUUCUUGCAAGUAUUUAUCAAUCUUUAUGUAUGGUUGGACUACCAUUCAGCUGUAGUUCAUUGUAAUAUGUUGUUGGAGCUCAAAAAAUUAAGAGCACUAUCUUUAGAAAUGUACUAUGUCACACAUUUACCAAUCAUUCAAUAGGAGGUUUGAUGCAUCUAACGUCUUUCUACUUUUCUUAUAAGAUGAUCAAAAUUCUGUGGACCAUCUUUCUUUGUUGGAAAGACUUUUUACUAAGAAGGGUAAGAACUGGGUUGCACAAUUCACAAGUUUCCCACUGACUUCUAGCUGCUAAAUUAUCUGACUCUUUCAAAUAUUUCCAAGGUUGGAAAUGGAUUAAAGAAAGGAUCUCAAAGAGUAAAAGUUUGUAAGAUUGCCAAAUGUGAUGAGAUCAUGGACUAAUGGCAAAGGUCAGCUUAUUUUAUGAGUCAUUGCAGGGGAUGCAUAGCCUCACUUCUCAUAAAAAGUAAUUAAUUAAAGAUUGUGGAAGUCUUGUUUCUUUUCCAAAUAUCAGUUUUCUUCCCAUUUGGAUUCUCUUUAGAUUUGUUAUUGUAAGAUUCUACAAACCUUAUCAAAAGGACUGAGUAUCUCUUAUUGCUAAAAGAACUGUGAAGAGAGGGUAGAGGAAAAUACUGUUGAAAGAUCACUCAAAUCCCUAUCGUUCAAAUAGAUAGCAGAUUCAUCUACAAUUCAGACAAGGAAAAAGCAUUGAGCUUUAUUUUAGACCAACCAGUCAGACGAUCAUUUCAUUGCUUCCAAGAUGAGUUGAGCUUCAGGGAUGAAACAUUUUGAGCAGAAUCUGAGCAAUUUUAGACCUCAAAAUGAAAAAAUUGAUCAGAAAAUUAUCUCAUUCAAUUCCAGAUUCAAGUUUGUUUUCAAAUGACCGAUCAUUGAGGUGAAGUGGAAAUAGACUGUGAUUGCUAAGCCAUUACAGUUUCCUUCUUCUGCUUCAUGGAAGAAAUUGAUGAACAGAACGUUUCAGUGGCUUUCAAGUUUGAGCUGUGCUUUUGAUCCUUCUAAUGAUUGCAUCUGUUAUUCAGGGUUUACUUCUCUGUGGAGUUUAGCGGCUCACCAUUGCCAUAAUGCACAUGAAAGUUUUGAAAAUCAAAGAGAUUGGAAUCUCAUCAACUCGCUAACACUUUUGUGUCAGCAACCUACUCUCCUAGGGUAAUGAUUGCAUCUGUUAAUCAGGGUUUACUUCUCUGUGGAGUUUAGCGGCUCACCAUUGCCAUAAUGCACAUGAAGUGUUUCGGAAGUUUUGAAAAUCAAAGAGUUUGGAAUCUCAUCAACUCGCUAACACUUUUGUGUCAGCAACCUACUCUCCUGGGGAAUUUUGUUGGCAGCUAAUUCCAGAAGCUUCAUUGCUGUCUCCUGAAUUACACAAAUGAUAGCCAAAAAAGCACUUUUACACUUCAUAAGGUAUCUUAACCGUAGUGUCACGAACUUAUUGCAAUGACAGGAGCAAUGCAAAGCUUGAAAAUUUGCAGUACUUGCAGGGCAGCAAUGUCAGCCCAGAUGGUUUGUUCAGCUCUUCUUCCUCUGUUAUAUAUAUAUAUAUAUAUAGAUGCUAGUGAAUGGGGGUGUUACAGAAUUUUAUAGAUAAAGAGUAUUGUAAAUUUUGAGCUCUUGUUAGUUCAUAAGUGUCAAAAUUUUCUGAAAUUUGUGUUCAUAAAGCAAGAUAAAGUGGUAGAUGUUGACAUGAUUUUGUUGAACUACAUUAAUAUGGUAAUCUUGUGCGUGUAA
Molecule: long non-coding RNA, 3008 nt
Organism: Mangifera indica (mango)
Lineage: Eukaryota; Viridiplantae; Streptophyta; Magnoliopsida; Sapindales; Anacardiaceae
Exons: 5
Source: RefSeq, a predicted model, not a curated record